AAAAAAAAAAAAAAAAAAAAGAAUGCAGAGGAGGUGAUGGACAGUGUGAGAUGCCAGAAAGAGGUUUUGGAAGGAAUACGUCUAUCAUUAAUGGCCAGGCCUGGGGUGUCACCAUGGGAUUAAGUGACUGAGGUGGGUUGGAAAAUAAAAUGACUGGCAAUGAGUAGACAAGGAACUGAGCGCCCAGCACAUUGUUUCCAGGGAUGACAGAGUGCCUAGGAAUGAUGAUGGUAGGAGGGGUGUAACCAAGAGAGUGAAUCAGGUUUUAAAAUGUCCAGGGAAUGAGGGGAAGCAAGCCAGGAGAUCAGCAGAUGAUUACAGUAUCCUGAUGGCAUGUACCUCAAAGGAUCCGAGUCUUGAGAAACUAGACGAUGAGAAGUAGUUUGGAAGCGACACUGUGGAGCUUCGUUAAGAAUUACAAAUGAAAUGCUAACCCGGGCCGGAGUACUUUGACGGGAGUGAAAGCUCAGAAAGGGGCUCAUGGAAAAAAUGGCAUUUACGGGGGACUUUGAAAGGUGAAAUGAAUUUUGAGAGAAAUCGCUUUGGAAAGGUAUUGCCAGCCAGAGAAAAUAUUAUUACGAAAGAAGAGGGAGUUAACACCGACUGUUCCGCCCAUGACUGGUGUUUCUGCCUUCGGGCCUGUUGCCGAGUUGUUAACUGCGGUAGGGUGUCAGCAGGCCACUAGGUGGCAGUGCAUAUCCUUGAGGAUGUACAGCCCUCCUUGGGACUGUGGGUUUUUGUGAAGGCUGGAAAUGAAAAUCUAGCCCCAGCACUGCUGAGGGGAGGCAAGUGAUGUGUGGAUUGGUGUAUUUAGUAAGUCUUAGCAUUAAAGGGGCAAAGCCGGCAAGAGAAUAAACUUGAGAACAUUUAGGCAAAAGAUCAGGAAGAAGAUGAAAGGAAGCUGUCUCAAGACAAAGGUAUGAUGUGUCAGAAGUAAAGGCCGCACUUUCUUAUACCAUACACAAAAAUAAACUCAGUGAAUGAAAGACCUGAAUGUGGAAACUGAAGC
Molecule: long non-coding RNA, 1009 nt
Organism: Leopardus geoffroyi (Geoffroy's cat)
Lineage: Eukaryota; Metazoa; Chordata; Mammalia; Carnivora; Felidae
Exons: 2
Source: RefSeq, a predicted model, not a curated record